This 452-nucleotide ribosomal RNA is filed under the name rape rhizosphere bacterium m9078. RNAcentral's name for it is "bacterial SSU rRNA". It matches the Rfam family "Bacterial small subunit ribosomal RNA", at positions 27 to 477 of the family's 1533-position model. The record is from RNAcentral.
GAUUGAACGCUGGCGGCAUGCCUUACACAUGCAAGUCGAACGGUAACGCGGGCAACCUGGCGACGAGUGGCGAACGGGUGAGUAAUAUAUCGGAACGUGCCCAGUUGUGGGGGAUAACUGCUCGAAAGAGCAGCUAAUACCGCAUACGACCUGAGGGUGAAAGCGGGGGAUCGCAAGACCUCGCGCAAUUGGAGCGGCCGAUAUCAGAUUAGGUAGUUGGUGGGGUAAAGGCCUACCAAGCCGACGAUCUGUAGCUGGUCUGAGAGGACGACCAGCCACACUGGGACUGAGACACGGCCCAGACUCCUACGGGAGGCAGCAGUGGGGAAUUUUGGACAAUGGGCGCAACCCUGAUCCAGCCAUGCCGCGUGCGGGAAGAAGGNCUUCGGGUUGUAAACCGCUUUUGUCAGGGAAGAAAAGAUCCCUACUAAUACUGGNGGUUCAUGACGGUA